GGGGAGUUGCCGGAGAUGGUUUAUCGGGGCGGAUUGCUAAUCCGUUGAGCCGCAAGGUUCCAGAAGUUCGAAUCUUCUACUCCCCG
This 86-nucleotide transfer RNA is filed under the name Bacteroidales bacterium. RNAcentral describes it as "tRNA-Ser". It matches the Rfam family "tRNA". From Rfam's summary of the family: Transfer RNA (tRNA) molecules are approximately 80 nucleotides in length. Their secondary structure includes four short double-helical elements and three loops (D, anti-codon, and T loops). Lineage: Bacteria; Pseudomonadati; Bacteroidota; Bacteroidia; Bacteroidales. The record is from RNAcentral.